Mauremys reevesii (Reeves's turtle) is the source of this 630-nucleotide long non-coding RNA. RefSeq lists it as uncharacterized. The transcript has 5 exons. The record is from RefSeq and is a predicted model, not a curated record. NCBI's taxonomy places the organism in Eukaryota, Metazoa, Chordata, Testudines, Geoemydidae.
CUCUUUGGACCUCUGGCCCUGGGGCUCCUGCUGCUGCUGCCUGCAUGCCGAGUUCCCCCUCCUCCCCCAUCCUGCCCCGCGAAUCAGCUGUGUAACAAGCUCUGGGAGGGAAGAGAAGCAGGAAGCGGCAGCGGGCUCACGGAGGAGGAGGAGUGAAGGUGAAGGUGGAACUCCACCCAGCCUGGAUGGUCUGUUUGACUUAUGCAGCAGUAUCAAUGAUCACAUCGUGAAGCAGCACCACAACCUUACCUUGCCUCUCUGGAGGCAACCAGUAUUUCUAUCCACGACACCUGACACAUCAGGUAGACAACAGAGAAGAAGAUGAAGAACCCCAGUGUGAUACUUGAAGAGGUUUGGAAAUCCCAGGAGAAUGAAUUCCCUCACCGUGGUGUGAUUCUCCAUCUUCUGUCUGUCCACUUCACCUGUUACCUGUGAACAAAAGAACCACCCCGAAAGGGAACAGCAAUCAGAAAAAGGAAUAUUGUCAACAUCGCAACUUCAGUGGCCGCAAUAAUUCAGGCCAAUCCAAUGGAACAAAGAAGCUAGCCACUCCUGUCUCCUGUUCUGAGAAGCUUAUCAGAUGGCAACAACCAGCAGUAAGGGCAACCUAGAACUUGGCUGGACAGUACU